UAAUAUUAAUAUUUAAUUAACAUUAAAGGAUGGUUUUAGAAUAUAAAGAAAAGAAUGUUAGUCAAUGUGCCUUGUACCACUUACCAUAAACAUUAAUUAGGCUAUAGCAAAACUGUAUAUACCUUUAGAAUUCCUCCCCUUCCUUUAGGUAUAAUGCUGAUUUUUCUCCCUCAAAUUUAAUCAACAUACAGGAGUAAAUUUGAACAUAUGAGAUACAUUGUGAAAGGAAAUAUUAUUCUUGUGUAUGUUGGGGUCGAACACUAAAAUAAAAAGAAUUUUUAAGGGGCAUAUCAAUUAAUGUCAAAAGACUGAUCAAGAAAACUAAUUUUUCUAAAUAAAAUUAAUACACCACUGUACUUUGAAAUGAUUUAUAUUUUGUUGCCCAUGCACUUAAAAUUUUUUUAAUUUUUUUCAAGUAAAGAUCGAAUAUUUUCUUGUUCAAGAAGCUUGUUGAUAGCUUUUAAUCUUCUCUGUGAAAAAAUGAUGCAAAGAAGAGUCCAGAACCUCGAUUUAUUUUCUUGUCAAAUAGACAAAGAUCGAAUAUUUUCUUGUUCAAGAAGCUUGUUGAUAGCUUUUAAUCUUCUCUGUGAAAAAAUGAUGCAAAGAAGAGUCCAGAACCUCGAUUUAUUUUCUUGUCAAAUAGACAAAGGUGACAACGAACUGGGGCUUUGUACUUGUAUCUUCUUUGAUCCAGCAGAUGAGGAUGGAAAGGAACCAGGGGUUUUUAUAACUGAAAUUAUUGAAGGAGGUGCAGUUCACAAACUUGGAUGUAUCCGUGUAUUUGACCAGAUUAUUAAAAUAGGUGACAUCAAUCUAAUUGGAUUGGAUGAAGCAGAAAUCGUCUCUACUUUUAAAAAAAUGGACGAUUCUCCUUUCCAGAUUGAAAUUGGCCGCGAACCACCUAAAGUGAAGUCAGAACUUAUCGAACUCCUCGAGUUGUCAGAGGAAAGGAAGAAAUAUUUUAUGGAUUCGCUCAUAGUACAGGAAAAAAUUAGAGAUAUCACUAUUGUGAGAGGACAAGCAAGUAUUUGUAGAAGUCCAAGAGUACCAUGGUACUGGAUGGCCAGCGACCUGAAAUUUGUUAUUGGGGCACUGAAAAUAUUAAUAGAAGAAGAUCAGGGAUGUAGAAAAAACAUCCAAGCUAUCUUUGAGCAGGCUAACAUUUUUCAAGACAAAUAUAAAGACAUGAACACAUACAAAGUGAAUAUGGAACAGAAACCUGAUGAAUCAAAUAAAGAAGGCACAUUUUUACCAUUGGCCCCAGAAGAAGAAUUAUUACUAGAACAAUUUAAAAUAAAACCUAAAGAGAUAAAAAAUGAAGAUUUAUCACCAGGGCAAUUAUUAGCCCAAGGGGAUUUCAAUUCAGAGACCCCAAUAAAAAAAGAAAAAGAAGAAGAUGAAAUAGUAGUGGAGGAAGAGAUUAUUAGCACUGGAAAACCUACAGAUGGAAAGGCUAAAAAGAGAUUUUCCUGGUUCCGCAAUAUCAAAGAAUGCAAGCUGUGGAACUUCUUUCAUUUUAAAAAACAUGACAAACAAGUAAAGAAUGUGCACAAGUGGGAAGAAAUUGAUCAAGAGGUAUUGGAUGAUUACUGUCCUUAUUCUACUGAAGCCCCUAAAACAUUGCCAACAGAGUGGACAAAUAUUGAAGUUGGUAAUUGGUUAUGGAGCAUUGGAAUGGAGGAGUAUGUUGUAAAAUUUUAUUGUAAAGGAAUAAAUGGUGAAAAACUCCUUACACUGGACAAUCGCUCUCUAAAAGAAAUCGAAGUCAACAGGAAGAAAGACCGCCGGAAAAUACUUAAGGCUAUUAAGAAAGUUAGAGAUUUUUGGGAAAAAAAUCAUCAUUUCGUCUUACUAUAG
Molecule: long non-coding RNA, 1857 nt
Filed under: Monodelphis domestica (gray short-tailed opossum)
Lineage: Eukaryota; Metazoa; Chordata; Mammalia; Didelphimorphia; Didelphidae
Description: lncRNA (ENSMODG00000039601.1)
Source: RNAcentral